AACGAACGCUGGCGGUGCGCCUAACACAUGCAAGUCGAACGGGGUUAUAGUUUGAAUUUGGCUUCGGCCUUUGGAUUACUAUAACUUAGUGGCGAACGGGUGAGUAACACAUAGGGAACCAACCCCUGGGAUUGGGAUACUCCCGGGAAACCGGGCACAAUACCGAAUAUGAUCACGAGGCGAAAUUCUUUGUGAUGAAAGCUUCGAGCAAUCGAAGUACCUGGGGAUGGACCUGUGGCCUAUCAGCUAGUUGGUGAGGUAAUGGCUCGCCAAGGCAAAGACGGGUAGCCGAACUGAGAGGUUGAUCGGUCACACUGGAACUGAGAUACGGUCCAGACUCCUACGGGAGGCAGCAGUGAGGAAUUUUGCGCAAUGGGCGAAAGCCUGACGCAGCGACACCGCGUGGGGAAGAAGGCCCUCGGGUUGUAAACCCCUUUCGUGAGGGAAAAAGUCUCGGGCAACCGGGAUGAUGGUACCUCAGGAAGAAGCCACGGCUAACUCUGUG
Molecule: ribosomal RNA, 505 nt
Filed under: uncultured bacterium
Lineage: Bacteria
Description: bacterial SSU rRNA
Rfam family: Bacterial small subunit ribosomal RNA
Source: RNAcentral